Molecule: ribosomal RNA, 327 nt
Filed under: uncultured eukaryote
Lineage: Eukaryota
Description: partial 18S ribosomal RNA
Rfam family: Eukaryotic small subunit ribosomal RNA
Source: RNAcentral
CCCUUAGAUGUUCUGGGCUGCACGCGCGCUACACUGAAGCGUUCAACGAGUAUUCACCUUGCCCGGGAGGGUUGGGUAAUCUUUUCAAAACGCUUCGUGAUGGGGAUAGAUUAUUGCAAUUAUUAAUCUUCAACGAGGAAUUCCUAGUAAGCGCGAGUCAUCAGCUCGCGUUGAUUACGUCCCUGCCCUUUGUACACACCGCCCGUCGCUCCUACCGAUUGAAUGGUCCGGUGAAAUCUUCGGAUUGCUGACCAAGAUCCAGCAAUGGAGCUUGGUUGCGAGAAGUUGAUUAAACCUUAUUAUUUAGAGGAAGGAGAAGUCGUAACA